RNAcentral lists this ribosomal RNA (562 nucleotides) under uncultured haloarchaeon. RNAcentral describes it as "bacterial SSU rRNA". It matches the Rfam family "Archaeal small subunit ribosomal RNA", at positions 340 to 900 of the family's 1478-position model. Lineage: Archaea; Methanobacteriati; Methanobacteriota; Halobacteria; Halobacteriales; Halobacteriaceae. The record is from RNAcentral.
CGCGAAACCUUUACACUGCACGACAGUGCGAUAAGGGAAUCCCAAGUGCACGGGCAUAGAGCCUGUGCUUUUCUGAACCGUAGGGAGGUUCAGGAACAAGGGCUGGGCAAGACCGGUGCCAGCCGCCGCGGUAAUACCGGCAGCCCAAGUGAUGGCCGAUUUUAUUGGGCCUAAAGCGUCCGUAGCUGGCCGCGCAAGUCUAUCGGGAAAUCUAUCCGCUCAACGGAUAGACGCCCGGUGGAAACUGCGUGGCUUGGGACCGGAAGGCGCGAAGGGUACGUCCGGGGUAGGAGUGAAAUCCUGUAAUCCUGGACGGACCGCCGAUGGCGAAAGCACUUCGCGAGGACGGAUCCGACAGUGAGGGACGAAAGCUAGGGUCUCGAACCGGAUUAGAUACCCGGGUAGUCCUAGCCGUAAACGAUGCCUGUUAGGGUGUGGCUCCCACUACGAGUGGGUGCUGUGCCGUAAGGAAGCCGCUAAACAGGCCGCCUGGGAAGUACGUCCGCAAGGAUGAAACUUAAAGGAAUUGGCGGGGGAGCACUACAACCGGAGGAGCCUGCGG